AGAGUUUGAUCCUGGCUCAGGAUGAACGCUGGCGGCGUGCCUAAUACAUGCAAGUCGAGCGAACUGAUUAGAAGCUUGCUUCUAUGACGUUAGCGGCGGACGGGUGAGUAACACGUGGGCAACCUGCCUGUAAGACUGGGAUAACUUCGGGAAACCGAAGCUAAUACCGGAUAGGAUCUUCUCCUUCAUGGGAGAUGAUUGAAAGAUGGUUUCGGCUAUCACUUACAGAUGGGCCCGCGGUGCAUUAGCUAGUUGGUGAGGUAACGGCUCACCAAGGCAACGAUGCAUAGCCGACCUGAGAGGGUGAUCGGCCACACUGGGACUGAGACACGGCCCAGACUCCUACGGGAGGCAGCAGUAGGGAAUCUUCCGCAAUGGACGAAAGUCUGACGGAGCAACGCCGCGUGAGUGAUGAAGGCUUUCGGGUCGUAAAACUCUGUUGUUAGGGAAGAACAAGUACAAGAGUAACUGCUUGUACCUUGACGGUACCUAACCAGAAAGCCACGGCUAACUACGUGCCAGCAGCCGCGGUAAUACGUAGGUGGCAAGCGUUAUCCGGAAUUAUUGGGCGUAAAGCGCGCGCAGGCGGUUUCUUAAGUCUGAUGUGAUAGCCCACGGCUCAACCCGUGGAGGGUCAUUGGAA
Molecule: ribosomal RNA, 643 nt
Filed under: uncultured marine bacterium
Lineage: Bacteria
Description: bacterial SSU rRNA
Rfam family: Bacterial small subunit ribosomal RNA
Source: RNAcentral